This 675-nucleotide ribosomal RNA is filed under the name bacterium IMCC7889. Its description in RNAcentral is "bacterial SSU rRNA". It matches the Rfam family "Bacterial small subunit ribosomal RNA", at positions 28 to 750 of the family's 1533-position model. The record is from RNAcentral.
AACGAACGCUGGCGGCAUGCCUAAUACAUGCAAGUCGAACGAGAUCUUCGGAUCUAGUGGCGCACGGGUGCGUAACGCGUGGGAAUCUGCCCUUGGGUUCGGAAUAACAGUUGGAAACGACUGCUAAUACCGGAUGAUGACGUAAGUCCAAAGAUUUAUCGCCCAAGGAUGAGCCCGCGUAGGAUUAGCUAGUUGGUGAGGUAAAGGCUCACCAAGGCUACGAUCCUUACCUGGUCUGAGAGGAUGAUCACCCACUCUGGGACUGAGACACGGCCCAGACUCCUACGGGAGGCAGCAGUAGGGAAUAUUGGACAAUGGGCGAAAGCCUGAUCCAGCAAUGCCGCGUGAGUGAUGAAGGCCUUAGGGUUGUAAAGCUCUUUUACCCGGGAUGAUAAUGACAGUACCGGGAGAAUAAGCCCCGGCUAACUCCGUGCCAGCAGCCGCGGUAAUACGGAGGGGGCUAGCGUUGUUCGGAAUUACUGGGCGUAAAGCGCACGUAGGCGGCGAUUUAAGUCAGAGGUGAAAGCCCGGGGCUCAACCCCGGAAUAGCCUUUGAGACUGGAUUGCUUGAACAUCGGAGAGGUGAGUGGAAUUCCGAGUGUAGAGGUGAAAUUCGUAGAUAUUCGGAAGAACACCAGUGGCGAAGGCGGCUCACUGGACGAUUGUGACGCUGAG